This 250-nucleotide ribosomal RNA is filed under the name uncultured bacterium. RNAcentral's name for it is "partial 16S ribosomal RNA". It matches the Rfam family "Bacterial small subunit ribosomal RNA", at positions 524 to 773 of the family's 1533-position model. The record is from RNAcentral.
UACAGAGGGUGCAAGCGUUAAUCGGAAUUACUGGGCGUAAAGCGCGCGUAGGUGGUUCGUUAAGUUGGAUGUGAAAGCCCCGGGCUCAACCUGGGAACUGCAUCCAAAACUGGCGAGCUAGAGUACGGUAGAGGGUGGUGGAAUUUCCUGUGUAGCGGUGAAAUGCGUAGAUAUAGGAAGGAACACCAGUGGCGAAGGCGACCACCUGGACUGAUACUGACACUGAGGCACGAAAGCAUGGGGAGCGAAC